UGGGGAAUUUUGGACAAUGGGCGAAAGCCUGAUCCAGCAAUGCCGCGUGUGUGAAGAAGGCCUUCGGGUUGUAAAGCACUUUUGUCCGGAAAGAAAUCCUUGGCUCUAAUACAGUCGGGGGAUGACGGUACCGGAAGAAUAAGCACCGGCUAACUACGUGCCAGCAGCCGCGGUAAUACGUAGGGUGCAAGCGUUAAUCGGAAUUACUGGGCGUAAAGCGUGCGCAGGCGGUUUGCUAAGACCGAUGUGAAAUCCCCGGGCUCAACCUGGGAACUGCAUUGGUGACUGGCAGGCUAGAGUAUGGCAGAGGGGGGUAGAAUUCCACGUGUAGCAGUGAAAUGCGUAGAGAUGUGGAGGAAUACCGAUGGCGAAGGCAGCCCCCUGGGGCCAAAUACUGACGCUCAUGCACGAAAGCGUGGGGAGCAAACAGGAUUAGAUACCCUGGUAGUCCACGCCCUAAACGAUGUCAACUAGUUGUUGGGGAUUCAUUUCCUUAGUAACGUAGCUAACGCGUGAAGUUGACCGCCUGGGGAGUACGGUCGCAAGAUUAAAACUUAAAUGAAUUGACGGGGUCAUA
Molecule: ribosomal RNA, 577 nt
Filed under: uncultured bacterium
Lineage: Bacteria
Description: partial 16S ribosomal RNA
Rfam family: Bacterial small subunit ribosomal RNA
Source: RNAcentral